CCCUUAGAUGUUCUGGGCUGCACGCGCGCUACACUGAUGCAUGCAACGAGUUUUCGACCUUGCCUGAAAAGGUUGGGUAAUCUGUUUAACAUGUGUCGUGAUGGGGAUAGACCAUUGCAAUUAUUGAUCUUCAACGAGGAAUUCCUAGUAAGCGCGAGUCAUCAGCUCGUGCUGAUUAUGUCCCUGCCCUUUGUACACACCGCCCGUCGCUCCUACCGAUUGAAUGAUCCGAUGAAUAUCAUGGAUUGAGGAUGCAAGUAGGUUCACCUAUCUUCAUCUUCGAGAAGUGAAGUAAAUCUUAUCAUUUAGAGGAAGGAGAAGUCGUAACA
This 329-nucleotide ribosomal RNA is filed under the name uncultured eukaryote. Its description in RNAcentral is "partial 18S ribosomal RNA". It matches the Rfam family "Eukaryotic small subunit ribosomal RNA", at positions 1470 to 1796 of the family's 1831-position model. The record is from RNAcentral.